This 94-nucleotide microRNA precursor is filed under the name Camelus bactrianus (Bactrian camel). RNAcentral's name for it is "mir-544 microRNA precursor family". It matches the Rfam family "mir-544 microRNA precursor family". RNAcentral also lists the same sequence under 2 other names. The record is from Rfam by way of RNAcentral. Lineage: Eukaryota; Metazoa; Chordata; Mammalia; Artiodactyla; Camelidae.
CUCACUCAGAAAUCUUGUUAAAAUGCAGAUUUUGAUUAAGUUCGUGGUAGGGCCCAAGAUUCUGCAUUUCUAACAAGUUCCCAGAUCAUGCAAA